UUCGAAGCAACGCGCAGAACCUUACCAGCUUUUGACAUGUCCGGUUUGAUCGGCAGAGAUGCCUUUCUUCAGUUCGGCUGGCCGGAACACAGGUGCUGCAUGGCUGUCGUCAGCUCGUGUCGUGAGAUGUUGGGUUAAGUCCCGCAACGAGCGCAACCCUCGCCCCUAGUUGCCAUCAUUCAGUUGGGAACUCUAGGGGGACUGCCGGUGAUAAGCCGCGAGGAAGGUGGGGAUGACGUCAAGUCCUCAUGGCCCUUACAGGCUGGGCUACACACGUGCUACAAUGGCGGUGACAAUGGGCAGCGAAGGAGCGAUCCGGUGCUAAUCCCAAAAAGCCGUCUCAGUUCAGAU
This 351-nucleotide ribosomal RNA is filed under the name unidentified activated sludge bacterium AI171. RNAcentral's name for it is "bacterial SSU rRNA". It matches the Rfam family "Bacterial small subunit ribosomal RNA", at positions 950 to 1298 of the family's 1533-position model. The record is from RNAcentral.